Molecule: ribosomal RNA, 542 nt
Filed under: uncultured bacterium
Lineage: Bacteria
Description: bacterial SSU rRNA
Rfam family: Bacterial small subunit ribosomal RNA
Source: RNAcentral
ACCGAAUAGAUACCCAGGUAGUCCACGCCCUAAACGAUGCGAACUGGAUGUUGGGCACAUUACGGUGCUCAGUGUCGAAAGCUAACGCGUUAAGUUCGCCGCCUGGGGAGUACGGUCGCAAGACUGAAACUCAAAGGAAUUGACGGGGGCCCGCACAAGCGGUGGAGUAUGUGGUUUAAUUCGAUGCAACGCGAAGAACCUUACCUGGCCUUGACAUCUGUCGAAUCCUGCAGAGAUGCGGGAGUGCCGCAAGGAACGACAAGACAGGUGCUGCAUGGCUGUCGUCAGCUCGUGUCGUGAGAUGUUGGGUUAAGUCCCGCAACGAGCGCAACCCUUGUCCCUAGUUGCCAACACUUCGGGUGGGAACUCUAGGGAGACUGCCGGUGACAAACCGGAGGAAGGUGGGGAUGACGUCAAGUCCUCAUGGCCCUUACGGCCAGGGCUACACACGUACUACAAUGGUCGGUACAAAGGGUUGCCAAGCCGCGAGGCGGAGCCAAUCCCAGAAAACCGAUCCCAGUCCGGAUUGGGGUCUGCAGCUC